Molecule: ribosomal RNA, 254 nt
Filed under: uncultured bacterium
Lineage: Bacteria
Description: partial 16S ribosomal RNA
Rfam family: Bacterial small subunit ribosomal RNA
Source: RNAcentral
UACAGAGGGGGCGAGCGUUGUUCGGAAUUACUGGGCGUAAAGGGCGCGCAGGCGGCUGCUCAAGUCAGGCGUGAAAGGCCUGGGCUCAACCCGGGAAUUGCGCUUGAGACUGGGCUGGCUUGAGUGCGGGAGAGGAUGGUGGAAUUCCCAGUGUAGAGGUGAAAUUCGUAGAUAUUGGGAAGAACACCGGUGGCGAAGGCGGCCAUCUGGACCGCAACUGACGCUGAGGCGCGAAAGCUAGGGGAGCAAACGGG